This 468-nucleotide ribosomal RNA is filed under the name uncultured bacterium. RNAcentral's name for it is "partial 16S ribosomal RNA". It matches the Rfam family "Bacterial small subunit ribosomal RNA", at positions 28 to 507 of the family's 1533-position model. The record is from RNAcentral.
GACGAACGCUGGCGGCGUGCUUAACACAUGCAAGUCGAACGGAAAGGCCCUGCUUUUGUGGGGUGCUCGAGUGGCGAACGGGUGAGUAACACGUGAGUAACCUGCCCUUGACUUUGGGAUAACUUCAGGAAACUGGGGCUAAUACCGGAUAGGGGCUCCUGCUGCAUGGUGGGGGUUGGAAAGUUUCGGCGGUUGGGGAUGGACUCGCGGCUUAUCAGCUUGUUGGUGGGGUAGUGGCUUACCAAGGCUUUGACGGGUAGCCGGCCUGAGAGGGUGACCGGCCACAUUGGGACUGAGAUACGGCCCAGACUCCUACGGGAGGCAGCAGUGGGGAAUAUUGCACAAUGGGCGGAAGCCUGAUACAGCAACGCCGCGUGCGGGAUGACGGCCUUCGGGUUGUAAACCGCUUUCGCCUGUGACGAAGCGUGAGUGACGGUAAUGGGUAAAGAAGCACCGGCUAACUACGUG